This is a long non-coding RNA of Rhododendron vialii, 537 nucleotides long. RefSeq lists it as uncharacterized. The transcript has 2 exons. The record is from RefSeq and is a predicted model, not a curated record. NCBI's taxonomy places the organism in Eukaryota, Viridiplantae, Streptophyta, Magnoliopsida, Ericales, Ericaceae.
ACCACAGCAACACACCUCUCCCCUCUGAGUUUAGAACUAGCAGAAAGGUAGGAGAGUGAGAGCUUAAAGCACCGGCCAUGGAGGAUUAGAGAGAGAAAAAUGGAUUUUGCUCUUACACCGACCCAAACUCCAAAUUGAUAUUACCAACGUUCCAUACCCAUCUCUAGCACCUCAGAACCACCACCAAUUACCCCAGAACCGAGCCUAGCUGCCGUUCUCCGAUUGUCUUCUUCGACGAACCGUUUUUACUGGAAACUUUUUUUUUAGCUAAAUCGAUUGGAGGAGAGACUUUUUGCAGAGAGAAUGUAAGACGAACAAGUCCGAAGUUGUUUCUAUCGCAGGAGGGUUUACAGGAAUGGAGACCGAGCAAGAGUUCGCUUGUGAUCCGUAUCAGACUUAAAGUCAGCUCUAUUGUUUAAAAAAAAAGUUAGACUUUAAUCAUUUUGUUAAUUCAGUACUUCAAAUUUAGAUUUGUAAUAACUUAAAUCGCUAUUUUGUAAUAAUCCUGGUUAAUUAAGUUACUAUCUUCUAAAGAAA